RNAcentral lists this ribosomal RNA (1343 nucleotides) under uncultured bacterium. RNAcentral describes it as "16S ribosomal RNA". It matches the Rfam family "Bacterial small subunit ribosomal RNA", at positions 28 to 1378 of the family's 1533-position model. The record is from RNAcentral.
GACGAACGCUGGCGGCGUGCUUAACACAUGCAAGUCGAACGGAAAGGCCCUGCUUUUGUGGGGUGCUCGAGUGGCGAACGGGUGAGUAACACGUGAGUAACCUGCCCUUGACUUUGGGAUAACUUCAGGAAACUGGGGCUAAUACCGGAUAGGAGCUCCUGCUGCACGGUGGGGGUUGGAAAGUUUCGGCGGUUGGGGAUGGACUCGCGGCUUAUCAGCUUGUUGGUGGGGUAGUGGCUUACCAAGGCUUUGACGGGUAGCCGGCCUGAGAGGGUGACCGGCCACAUUGGGACUGAGAUACGGCCCAGACUCCUACGGGAGGCAGCAGUGGGGAAUAUUGCACAAUGGGCGGAAGCCUGAUGCAGCAACGCCGCGUGCGGGAUGACGGCCUUCGGGUUGUAAACCGCUUUCGCCUGUGACGAAGCGUGAGUGACGGUAAUGGGUAAAGAAGCACCGGCUAACUACGUGCCAGCAGCCGCGGUGAUACGUAGGGUGCGAGCGUUGUCCGGAUUUAUUGGGCGUAAAGGGCUCGUAGGUGGUUGAUCGCGUCGGAAGUGUAAUCUUGGGGCUUAACCCUGAGCGUGCUUUCGAUACGGGUUGACUUGAGGAAGGUAGGGGAGAAUGGAGUUCCUGGUGGAGCGGUGGAAUGCGCAGAUAUCAGGAGGAACACCAGUGGCGAAGGCGGUUCUCUGGGCCUUUCCUGACGCUGAGGAGCGAAAGCGUGGGGAGCGAACAGGCUUAGAUACCCUGGUAGUCCACGCUGUAAACGGUGGGUACUAGGUGUGGGGUCCAUUCCACGGGUUCCGUGCCGUAGCUAACGCUUUAAGUACCCCGCCUGGGGAGUACGGCCGCAAGGCUAAAACUCAAAGGAAUUGACGGGGCCCCGCACAAGCGGCGGAGCAUGCGGAUUAAUUCGAUGCAACGCGUAGAACCUUACCUGGGUUUGACAUGGAUCGGGAGUGCUCAGAGAUGGGUGUGCCUCUUUUGGGGUCGGUUCACAGGUGGUGCAUGGCUGUCGUCAGCUCGUGUCGUGAGAUGUUGGGUUAAGUCCCGCAACGAGCGCAACCCUUGUUCACUGUUGCCAGCACGUUAUGGUGGGGACUCAGUGGAGACCGCCGGGGUCAACUCGGAGGAAGGUGGGGAUGACGUCAAGUCAUCAUGCCCCUUAUGUCCAGGGCUUCACGCAUGCUACAAUGGCUGGUACAGAGGGUGGCGAGCCUGUGAGGGUGAGCGAAUCUCGGAAAGCCGGUCUCAGUUCGGAUUGGGGUCUGCAACUCGACCUCAUGAAGUCGGAGUCGCUAGUAAUCGCAGAUCAGCAACGCUGCGGUGAAUACGUUCCCGGG